This 373-nucleotide ribosomal RNA is filed under the name uncultured organism. Its description in RNAcentral is "partial 16S ribosomal RNA". It matches the Rfam family "Bacterial small subunit ribosomal RNA", at positions 527 to 896 of the family's 1533-position model. The record is from RNAcentral.
GUAGGUGGCAAGCGUUGUCCGGAAUUAUUGGGCGUAAAGCGCGCGCAGGUGGGUUCUUUAAGUCUGAUGUGAAAGCCCCCGGGCUCAACCGGGGAGGGUCAUUGGAAACUGGGGUACUUGAGUGCAGGAGAGGAAAGUGGAAUUCCACGUGUAGCGGUGAAAUGCGUAGAUAUGUGGAGGAACACCAGUGGCGAAGGCGACUUUCUGGCCUGUAACUGACACUGAGGCGCGAAAGCGUGGGGAGCAAACAGGAUUAGAUACCCUGGUAGUCCACGCCGUAAACGAUGAGUGCUAAGUGUUGGGGGGUUUCCGCCCCUCAGUGCUGCAGCUAACGCAUUAAGCACUCCGCCUGGGGAGUACGGUCGCAAGACUG